Long non-coding RNA from Melospiza melodia melodia, 2406 nucleotides. RefSeq lists it as uncharacterized. NCBI's taxonomy places the organism in Eukaryota, Metazoa, Chordata, Aves, Passeriformes, Passerellidae. The record is from RefSeq and is a predicted model, not a curated record. The transcript is spliced from 3 exons.
UAGUGGGAGAGGGUGUCCACAUUGUAGGACAGGUCUUAGGGCUAUGGAGCCCAGUAAAUAGAAACCUUAUUUAAUGGUUAAGAUUUACAUUAACUUCUCCCCACUGUCAGACAUAUAAGGUGUCACAUGCUCUGCUGUGACACCUCCCCCAAGGGAAUGGGUGUCACAUCAGGCUGACACACAGGACAGAAGAAUAUGUGCAGUUACAUGGGUCAGGACACAACAGACAGGUCUGUGAUGGGGAUUUCUUAUGUAACACAUCUCUGCAGAGGAAGCAAAGGCUGCACACAGGAGACAUGCUGCACAAGAUCUGAUGCCUCUUUUACAGCCAGCAUCAGAAACUUUCAGAUGGCUAUUUACCUUGGUGCUGAGCAGUAAAGGCAAUGAAGAAAGUUGUUUGAUAGCUUAAAAAUGAACUUUGCUCUCUGUUGCAGGAGUUUGGCAGACCAAGAUCAGCAGCCGUGAAAAGAGACACUUAAGGAAGGAAAGGCUGAAACAAAAAGACCCCAGCAGAGCAUCUCUGGGUAGCUCAGUGGCUGAGCCAGCCUUUGACUGGGAUGAGAAGAGAGCAGUGUGGCCGCUCACAGAGGACAUUGGUGGUGGUGGAAAAGGUGCUUUCUUUGCCAAGGCAGAGUGUGGGACUGUGCUGAAGGGCUCAGGAGCUCUACGGGAAGAAUUGGCAACCUCCAGAUUAGAAGAUGAUGUUUUCUCCAAUGUAGGCUGAACAACUGAUCGAGAGACUGCAGACUGAAAAUGCUGCCAGCUGAAAGCUUGUGUUGUCAGCCAGUUUGGUCUUUGAGCUCUGAUUUAAGGUUGCACAGUUUGAUGUUGCCAAUAAUAUCCCAGGAUAAAAAAAGCUUUAGUUCCUUAUGAGGAAAUACACACAGAAUUUGUAGCUGCUAACCUAAUUCUUCCAUUUGGAUAUGUCAAUCUGUAUACUUCCUUGGCAAUGGCGCGAUAUAUUUUAGUUAAAAUUUUAAUUUAAUUUGUGUAGAUCCAUACAUAAUACACACACACAUGCACACAGGCAGAGAACUCUUGCUAGUAAAAGGCAAAGUGUAGCAGCAGAAUGUAUUGCAACCAAGGCAGUGAGUUACAACUAACAGCAUAUGAAUGGUACCAAAGGGAGUAUUUGCUGCAGAAUCAAGCUUUCAUUUUCAAGAUGCAUUGUUCUGGGACUGCAGGUAACAUUUCAAGCAUUUGUUCCCACCUGCAUUUGUAUGAUAUGUUACUUAUGCCUAGUGAUGGACAUUGCUGCAAGUACAGUACUGACUUUCUGGUGCAAAACUACUUCAAUGUUACCUGACUUGUUUGCAUCACAGUGACACAGUAAACAUGAAUACAAUAUGUGCCCAAUAGUUUAUGUGUAAAUAGACCUAAUGAUUUUUCCCCUCUUAUGUGCACAAUAUUUGAAAUUACUAUAUGUUUACAAAGAAUGUGAAGAGUUCAAAAGAAUGGAUUUAAUAUACUGCUCUUUUACAUGGCAGUAGAUAGAAAAGUCCAGAAUUACUAAUCUUAUUUUCACUGCAAGUCCCUUGCAGAUUACUAAUGCCUUGGCCAAAUUUGGAUUCUAAAUGAAGUCAUGAGAGAAGCUGGUCUGAAAUGCUGUGUCUGUGUGUGUGGCAGACUUACAUAAGAGCAAUGUGAUUUGACUUUGGGAUAGCAGGGACUCAGCCCAAAAUUGGAACAUGCCAAGUUGCUUAAGGAACCUGUUGAACAUUUGCCUUUGCAGCAUGACUCUAAUCAGGAAUGCUAGCACUUGUUUUUCAGUACCAUAAUAAGGCAGACUGUUUGGCAAGUGAAAACUCCAGAACACAUGGAGUGGAUUUUCUCUGUUCACAGAGCCUGUCUUGGUGCCGAGCUAACCAAGUGCCCUUGCCUGAUGCAUUCAGAUGCAGCUGAGGUGAGAACAUCUGUUGUACCUGCAAACUUCCCUGAACAUAAUAGUCUGUGUUUUCCAUGGAUCCAGCACCUGUUGCCUUAGUGAUACAAUGUGCUGUAAUAUUCUUACAGUACUUCAGAGUCCACACCCUUCUGAAGAACUGCAUUUUUUCCUGGCAGAGUUUACGCAUCUCUGUCUGUAAGAUCUUCUUCCUAAUGUCUUGUUAUAUGUGUUAGUGGGCACUUGCAUGUUAUUUGCAGCCCUUUAGGGUUUUAAUUUAUUACAUUUGGUAGGAAAAGUUUGACUUAAAGCCACUGAACUUUGACUGUGCAAUAGAUGAAGAGGUUUGAGCUUGCUCCUGACUUAGUGAAAUACCUGUACAUUAAGGACUUUUAAGAGUGAAUAUGUAUAUGUUCUGAUCUGCAAUUGAUUUAUGUAACUGUACUGAACUGUGACAUGUAAUAUUUAAAAUAUCAACAUGAACUGUUGUCAAAAAGGAUUAAUAAAUGCUAAUCUUGGGAUGA